This 1421-nucleotide ribosomal RNA is filed under the name Streptococcus iniae. RNAcentral's name for it is "partial 16S ribosomal RNA". It matches the Rfam family "Bacterial small subunit ribosomal RNA". Lineage: Bacteria; Bacillati; Bacillota; Bacilli; Lactobacillales; Streptococcaceae. The record is from RNAcentral.
CUAUACAUGCAGUAGAACGCUGAGGAUGGUGCUUGCCUAAUCCAAAGAGUUGCGAACGGGUGAGUAACGCGUAGGUAACCUACCUCAUAGCGGGGGAUAACUAUUGGAAACUAUAUCUAAUACCGCGUGACUCUAGAGUACACGUGUUCUCUUUUUAAAGGGAGCAAAUGUCUCUAUAUGAUGUGGACGUGUUGUGUUUUAUCUAUGUGGAGAGGUAACGGCUCACCAGGGACAAUAUACAUACCACAUGUGAGGGGGAGAUCGGCCACUGGGGCUGAGACACACGCCCCACACUCCUAGGGGGGGCAGCAAUGGGAAAUCCUCGGCAGUGGAGAGAUCUCAGACAGAGCAACCCCGCGAGAGAGAAAAGGGUUUUCAGAUCGUAAAUCUCUGUUGUUAGAAAAAAACGGUAGUGGGAGUGGAAAAUCCUUUACGUGACGGACUCUAACCAAAAGGGGACGGCUAACUACGUGCCAGCASCCGCGGWAAUACRUAKGUCUCGAGCGUUGUCCRGAUUUAUUGGGCGUAAAGCGAGCGCASGCGGYUCUAUAASUCWGAAGUAAAAGGCAGUGKCUCAMCCAUUGUAUGCUUUGGAAACUGUARAACUUGAGUGCARARGGRGAGAGUGGAAUUCCRUGUGUAGCGGUGAWRUGCRUAKAUAUAUGGARGAACACCGGUGGCGARMGCGGCUCUCUGGUCUGUAACUGACKCUGASGCUCGAAAGCGUGGRGAGCAAACARGAUUAKAUACCCUGGUAGUCCACGCCRUAMACGAUGAGUGCUAKGUGUUASGCCCUUUCCGGSGCUUAGUGCCGCAKCUAACGCAUUAARCACUCCGCCUGGRGAGUACGACCGCARGGUUGAAACUCARRRGAAKUGACGGGSGCCCGCACRAGCKGUGGAGCAUGUGKUUUAMUYMRARSCAACGCGAAGAACCUUACCAKGUCUUGACAUCCCUCUGACCGUCCUAGAGAUAGGAUUUUCCUUCGGGACAGAGGAGACAGGUGGUGCAUGGUUGUCGUCAGCUCGUGUCGUGAGAUGUUGGGUUAAGUCCCGCAACGAGCGCAACCCCUAUUGUUAGUUGCCAUCAUUAAGUUGGGCACUCUAGCGAGACUGCCGGUAAUAAACCGGAGGAAGGUGGGGAUGACGUCAAAUCAUCAUGCCCCUUAUGACCUGGGCUACACACGUGCUACAAUGGUUGGUACAACGAGUCGCAAGCCGGUGACGGCAAGCUAAUCUCUUAAAGCCAAUCUCAGUUCGGAUUGUAGGCUGCAACUCGCCUACAUGAAGUCGGAAUCGCUAGUAAUCGCGGAUCAGCACGCCGCGGUGAAUACGUUCCCGGGCCUUGUACACACCGCCCGUCACACCACGAGAGUUUGUAACACCCGAAGUCGGUGAGGUAACCUUUUAGGAGCCAGCCGC